This 77-nucleotide transfer RNA is filed under the name Bacilli bacterium. RNAcentral describes it as "tRNA-Met". It matches the Rfam family "tRNA". From Rfam's summary of the family: Transfer RNA (tRNA) molecules are approximately 80 nucleotides in length. Their secondary structure includes four short double-helical elements and three loops (D, anti-codon, and T loops). Further hydrogen bonds mediate the characteristic L-shaped molecular structure. tRNAs have two regions of fundamental functional importance: the anti-codon, which is responsible for specific mRNA codon recognition, and the 3' end, to which the tRNAs corresponding amino acid is attached (by aminoacyl-tRNA synthetases). tRNAs cope with the degeneracy of the genetic code in two manners: having more than one tRNA (with a specific anti-codon) for a particular amino acid; and 'wobble' base-pairing, i.e. permitting non-standard base-pairing at the 3rd anti-codon position. The record is from RNAcentral. Lineage: Bacteria; Bacillati; Bacillota; Bacilli.
CGCGGAGUAGAGUAGCGGUAUCUCGUCAGGCUCAUAACCUGGAGAGCGUUGGGUUCGACUCCCAGCCUCCGCAACCA